GGACUGAACUCUGGAAAGCAGGUGGCAACACCUCACCGAAGGAGCAACCGGAGCAUAGGCCCUCCGGGAAAUCUCUCAGGUUAGCGGACAGAGGGGGCACG
This 101-nucleotide non-coding RNA is filed under the name Devosia sp. RNAcentral describes it as "Glycine sequence". It matches the Rfam family "Glycine riboswitch aptamer". From Rfam's summary of the family: This family represents the bacterial glycine riboswitch. Glycine riboswitches usually consist of two metabolite-binding aptamers domains with similar structures in tandem. The record is from RNAcentral. Lineage: Bacteria; Pseudomonadati; Pseudomonadota; Alphaproteobacteria; Hyphomicrobiales; Devosiaceae.